This 253-nucleotide ribosomal RNA is filed under the name uncultured bacterium. RNAcentral's name for it is "partial 16S ribosomal RNA". It matches the Rfam family "Bacterial small subunit ribosomal RNA", at positions 524 to 776 of the family's 1533-position model. The record is from RNAcentral.
UACAGAGGGUGCAAGCGUUAAUCGGAAUUACUGGGCGUAAAGCGUGCGUAGGCGGUAAAUUAAGUCUGAUGUGAAAUCCCCGAGCUUAACUUGGGAACUGCAUUAGAUACUGGUUUGCUAGAGUAAGGUAGAGGAAAGCGGAAUUCCAGGUGUAGCGGUGAAAUGCGUAGAUAUCUGGAGGAACACCGGUGGCGAAGGCGGCUUUCUGGACUUAUACUGACGCUGAGGCACGAAAGCGUGGGGAUCAAACAGG